This is a transfer RNA of Mesotoga prima MesG1.Ag.4.2, 73 nucleotides long. It matches the Rfam family "tRNA". Rfam says of the family: Transfer RNA (tRNA) molecules are approximately 80 nucleotides in length. Their secondary structure includes four short double-helical elements and three loops (D, anti-codon, and T loops). NCBI's taxonomy places the organism in Bacteria, Thermotogati, Thermotogota, Thermotogae, Kosmotogales, Kosmotogaceae. The record is from Rfam.
GGGGACAUAGCUCAGCUGGGAGAGCGUCUGCUUUGCAAGCAGAAGGCCAGGGGUUCGAAUCCCCUUGUCUCCA